GCAUUUCCUGGUACCUGUUGUGUUGUGGACAGGGAAGCUCGGAGGUAAGAGGAGUCAGGAGGUGGUGAAGGAGGUACGUGGGAUGUGACUGUGGGAAACCAGGGGCUGAACCUCCCCAGUGAAGCAGAUGUGAAACCCAGCCUGUCUGUUUUUAGGAAAAUUCAGCACUCUCUUAAGAAGCAAAACAACACUUUCUCUUCUCAACAGCCAUUUUUAUUGCUUUUGACAAUACACCACUGGAGGGAAAA
Molecule: long non-coding RNA, 248 nt
Organism: Pezoporus flaviventris
Lineage: Eukaryota; Metazoa; Chordata; Aves; Psittaciformes; Psittacidae
Exons: 2
Source: RefSeq, a predicted model, not a curated record